UACGGAGGAUGCGAGCGUUAUCCGGAUUUACUGGGCGUAAAGGGAGCGUAGGCGGCCUGCCAAGUCUGAUGUGAAAUACCGGGGCUCAACCCCGGGGCUGCAUUGGAAACUGGCAGGCUGGAGUGCCGGAGAGGCAGGCGGAAUUCCUAGUGUAGCGGUGAAAUGCGUAGAUAUUAGGAGGAACACCAGUGGCGAAGGCGGCUCACUGGACUGUAACUGACGUUGAGGCUCGAAAGCAUGGGUAGCGAACAGG
Molecule: ribosomal RNA, 253 nt
Filed under: uncultured Lachnospiraceae bacterium
Lineage: Bacteria; Bacillati; Bacillota; Clostridia; Lachnospirales; Lachnospiraceae
Description: partial 16S ribosomal RNA
Rfam family: Bacterial small subunit ribosomal RNA
Source: RNAcentral